This 76-nucleotide microRNA precursor is filed under the name Tupaia belangeri (northern tree shrew). RNAcentral describes it as "miRNA (ENSTBEG00000019850.1)". The record is from RNAcentral. Lineage: Eukaryota; Metazoa; Chordata; Mammalia; Scandentia; Tupaiidae.
AUAUAUAUGUAUAUAUGUAUGUGUGCAUGUGUAUAUGUAUAUACACAUAUGUUUAUCAAAUGUUUAAUACAGAAUG